GCCGCCGCGGUAAAACGUAGGGGACAAGCGUUAUCCGGAUUCACUGGGCGUAAAGAGCGUUGAGGCGGUUCCGUAAGUUGGGCGUGAAAGCUCCGGGCUUAACUCGGAGAUGUCGUUCAAUACUGCGGGGCUUGAGGACAGCAGAGGAAGGUGGAAUUCCCGGUGUAGUGGUGAAAUGCGUAGAUAUCGGGAGGAACACCCGUGGCGAAGGCGGCCUUCUGGGCUGUUCCUGACGCUGAAGGCGAAAGCUAGGGGAGCGAACGGGAUUAGAUACCCCGGUAGUCCUAGCUGUAAACGAUGAAUGCUGGGUGUGGGGGGUGUAAAUUCCCUCUGUGCCGAAGCAAACGCGUUAAGCAUCCCGCCUGGGGACUACGGCCGCAAGGCUAAAACUCAAACGAAUUGACGGGGGCCCGCACAAGCAGCGGAGCGUGUGGUUUAAUUCGAUGCUACACGAAGAACCUUACCUGGGUUUGACAUGCACGUGGUAGGGAACCGAAAGGGGACCGACCUUCGGGAGCGUGCACAGGUGCUGCAUGGCUGUCGUCAGCUCGUGCCGUGAGGUGUCGGGUUAAGUCCCGUAACGAGCGCAACCCUUGCCCUUAGUUACAAGUGUCUAAGGGGACUGCCCGGGACAACUGGGAGGAAGGUGGGGAUGACGUCAAGUCAGCAUGGCCUUUAUAUCCAGGGCUACACACACGCUACAAUGGCCGGUACAAUAGGUUGCGAAGUCGUGAGGCGGAGCCAAUCCUCAAAGCCGGUCUCAGUUCGAAUUGCAGUCUGCAACUCGACUGCAUGAAGCUGGAGUUGCUAGUAAUCGCAGGUCAGCUAUACUGCGGUGAAUAC
RNAcentral lists this ribosomal RNA (843 nucleotides) under uncultured Chloroflexota bacterium. RNAcentral's name for it is "bacterial SSU rRNA". It matches the Rfam family "Bacterial small subunit ribosomal RNA", at positions 511 to 1369 of the family's 1533-position model. Lineage: Bacteria; Bacillati; Chloroflexota. The record is from RNAcentral.